Molecule: ribosomal RNA, 808 nt
Filed under: uncultured bacterium
Lineage: Bacteria
Description: bacterial SSU rRNA
Rfam family: Bacterial small subunit ribosomal RNA
Source: RNAcentral
AUUGAACGCUGGCGGCAUGCCUUACACAUGCAAGUCGAACGGCAGCACGGGCUUCGGUCUGGUGGCGAGUGGCGAACGGGUGAGUAAUGUAUCGGAACGUACCUUUCAGUGGGGGAUAACGUAGCGAAAGUUACGCUAAUACCGCAUAUUCUGUGAGCAGGAAAGCAGGGGAUCGCAAGACCUUGCGCUGAUUGAGCGGCCGAUAUCAGAUUAGCUAGUUGGUGAGGUAAAGGCUCACCAAGGCGACGAUCUGUAGCGGGUCUGAGAGGGUGAUCCGCCACACUGGAACUGAGACACGGUCCAGACUCCUACGGGAGGCAGCAGUGGGGAAUUUUGGACAAUGGGGGCAACCCUGAUCCAGCCAUGCCGCGUGAGUGAAGAAGGCCUUCGGGUUGUAAAGCUCUUUCGGCCGGGAAGAAAUCGCAUGGGCUAAUACCCUGUGCGGAUGACGGUACCGGCAUAAGAAGCACCGGCUAACUACGUGCCAGCAGCCGCGGUAAUACGUAGGGUGCGAGCGUUAAUCGGAAUUACUGGGCGUAAAGCGUGCGCAGGCGGUUUUUUAAGACAGGCGUGAAAUCCCCGGGCUCAACCUGGGAACUGCGCUUGUGACUGGAAGGCUAGAGUAUGGCAGAGGGGGGUGGAAUUCCACGUGUAGCAGUGAAAUGCGUAGAGAUGUGGAGGAACACCAAUGGCGAAGGCAGCCCCCUGGGCCAAUACUGACGCUCAUGCACGAAAGCGUGGGUAGCAAACAGGAUUAGAUACCCUGGUAGUCCACGCCCUAAACGAUGUCAACUAGGUGUUGGGUGGG